UACCCGCGGCCCGAGUGGUGCUCAUUAUUAUUGAGCCUAAAGCGUCCGUAGCUGGCCGGGCAAAUCUCCGGGUAAAUCGGGCCGCUCAACGGUCCGAAUUCCGGAGACACUGCUCGGCUUGGGAUCGGGAGAGGGUGAAGGUACUCCCGGGGUAGGGGUAAAAUCCUGUAAUCCUGGGGGGACCACCAGUGGCGAAGGCGUUCACCUAGAACGAAUCCGACAGUGAGGGACGAAGCCCUAGGGCGCAAACGGGAUUAGAUACCCCGGUAGUCUAGGGUGUAAACGCUGCAGACUUGGUGUUGGGGGUCCUGCGUGGGCUCCCAGUGCCGGAGCGAAGGUGUUGAGUCUGCCGCUUGGGGAGUACGGUCGCAAGACUGAAACUUAAAGGAAUUGGCGGGAGAGCACCGCAACGGGAGGAGCGUGCGGUUCAAUUGGAUUCAACGCCGGAAAACUCACCGGAGGCGACGGAGGGAUGAAAGCCAGGCUGAAGACCUUGCCCGAUUCUCCGAGAGGUGGUGCAUGGCCGUCGUCAGUUCGUACCAUAAGGCGUUCUGUUAAGUCAGAUAACGAACGAGACCCUCGCCGUUAGUCGCGAUCUUACAAGCGAUUGUAGGAGCACACUAGCGGGAUCGCUGCCGUUAAGGCAGAGGAAGGAGAGGUCUACGGUAGGUCCGUAUGCCCCGAAUCUUCCGGGCAACACGCGCGCUACAAAGGUGGGGACAAUGGGACCCGACCUCGAAAGGGGGAGGCAAUCCUGAAACCCCAUCGUAGUCUGGAUCGAGGGCUGUAACUCGCCCUCGUGAAAAUGGAUUCCGUAGUAAUCGCGGGUCAACAUCCCGCGGUGAAUGUGCCCCUGCUCUU
RNAcentral lists this ribosomal RNA (861 nucleotides) under uncultured archaeon. RNAcentral describes it as "bacterial SSU rRNA". It matches the Rfam family "Archaeal small subunit ribosomal RNA", at positions 474 to 1337 of the family's 1478-position model. The record is from RNAcentral.